UACGGAGGAUGCGAGCGUUAUCCGGAUUUACUGGGUGUAAAGGGAGCGUAGACGGAAUUGCAAGUCUGAUGUGAAAAUCCGGGGCCCAACCCCGGAACUGCAUUGGAAACUGUAUUUCUAGAGUGUCGGAGAGGCAAGUGGAAUUCCUGGUGUAGCGGUGAAAUGCGUAGAUAUCAGGAGGAACACCAGUGGCGAAGGCGGCUUGCUGGACGAUGACUGACGUUGAGGCUCGAAAGCGUGGGGAGCAAACAGG
Molecule: ribosomal RNA, 253 nt
Filed under: uncultured bacterium
Lineage: Bacteria
Description: partial 16S ribosomal RNA
Rfam family: Bacterial small subunit ribosomal RNA
Source: RNAcentral